This 127-nucleotide ribosomal RNA is filed under the name uncultured bacterium. Its description in RNAcentral is "partial 16S ribosomal RNA". The record is from RNAcentral.
ACGUCAAGACUCAUGGAUAUUAACCAUAAGCUUUUCUUCACUGCCGAAAGUGCUUUACAACCCUAAGGCCUUCUUCACACACGCGGUAUUGCUGGAUCAGGGUUGCCCCCAUUGUCCAAUAUUCCCC